Molecule: unclassified non-coding RNA, 347 nt
Filed under: soil metagenome
Description: partial contains 5.8S ribosomal RNA, internal transcribed spacer 2, and large subunit ribosomal RNA
Rfam family: 5.8S ribosomal RNA (bases 1-120)
Source: RNAcentral
GAUGAAGAACGCAGUGAAAUGCGAUAAGUAAUGUGAAUUGCAGAAUUCAGUGAAUCAUCGAGUCUUUGAACGCACAUUGCGCCCCCUGGUAUUCCGGGGGGCAUGCCUGUCCGAGCGUCAUUGCCGCCCUCAAGCACGGCUUGUGUGUUGGGCCCCCGCCCCCCGGCUUCGGGGGGCGGGCCCGAAAGGCAGCGGCGGCACCGCGUCCGGUCCUCGAGCGUAUGGGGCUUCGUCACCCGCUCUGUAGGCCCGGCCGGCGCCCGCCGGCGACCCCAAUCAAUCUUUCCAGGUUGACCUCGGAUCAGGUAGGGAUACCCGCUGAACUUAAGCAUAUCAAUAAGCGGAGG